UCCAGACUCCUACGGGAGGCAGCAGUGAGGAAUAUUGGUCAAUGGGCGGGAGCCUGAACCAGCCAAGUCGCGUGAGGGAAGACGGUCCUAUGGAUUGUAAACCUCUUUAGGCGGGGAGCAAUGCCGGGCACGUGUGCCCGGAGGGAGAGUACCCGCAGAAUAAGCAUCGGCUAACUCCGUGCCAGCAGCCGCGGUAAUACGGAGGAUGCGAGCGUUAUCCGGAUUUAUUGGGUUUAAAGGGUGCGUAGGCGGAUUUUUAAGUCAGCGGUAAAAUGUCCGGGCUCACCCCCGGCGAGCCGUUGAAACUGGCUGUCUUGAGAUGUCGAGAGGUAUGCGGAAUGCGCAGUGUAGCGGUGAAAUGCUUAGAUAUCACGCAGAACCCCGAUUGCGAAGGCAGCAUACCGGGGCACAACUGACGCUCAGGCACGAAAGCGUGGGUAUCGAACAGGAUUAGAUACCCGAGUAU
This 466-nucleotide ribosomal RNA is filed under the name uncultured bacterium. Its description in RNAcentral is "bacterial SSU rRNA". It matches the Rfam family "Bacterial small subunit ribosomal RNA", at positions 330 to 793 of the family's 1533-position model. The record is from RNAcentral.